This 254-nucleotide ribosomal RNA is filed under the name uncultured bacterium. Its description in RNAcentral is "partial 16S ribosomal RNA". It matches the Rfam family "Bacterial small subunit ribosomal RNA", at positions 524 to 776 of the family's 1533-position model. The record is from RNAcentral.
UACGUAGGGUCCAAGCGUUAUCCGGAAUCACUGGGCGUAAAGCGUGCGUAGGUGGAAAGUUAAGUGCAAUGCGAAAUCCUGUGGCUCAACCAUAUGGACUGUAUUGCAUACUGGCUAUCUAGAGGACAUGAGAGGCAAGUGGAAUUACCGGUGUAGCAGUGAAAUGCGUAGAGAUCGGUAGGAACACCAAUGGCGAAGGCAGCUUGCUGGCAUGUAUCUGACGCUAAGGCACGAAAGCGUGGGGAGCGAACAGG